UCCCUGGUGGUCUAGCAGUUAGGAUUCAGUGCUUUCACUGCUGUGGCCUGGGUUCAAUCCCUGGCCUGAGAA
RNAcentral lists this transfer RNA (72 nucleotides) under Sus scrofa (pig). It matches the Rfam family "tRNA". From Rfam's summary of the family: Transfer RNA (tRNA) molecules are approximately 80 nucleotides in length. Their secondary structure includes four short double-helical elements and three loops (D, anti-codon, and T loops). Lineage: Eukaryota; Metazoa; Chordata; Mammalia; Artiodactyla; Suidae. The record is from Rfam by way of RNAcentral.